GGUCUUAUAUUUUAUAUAAAUUAUUAAAUUGCAAAUUUAAAGAUGAUUAAAAGUCUAAGACUU
Molecule: transfer RNA, 63 nt
Filed under: Argas africolumbae
Lineage: Eukaryota; Metazoa; Arthropoda; Arachnida; Ixodida; Argasidae
Description: tRNA-Cys
Source: RNAcentral